Pelobates cultripes (western spadefoot toad) is the source of this 282-nucleotide non-coding RNA. The record is from the annotation of a GenBank genome assembly. NCBI's taxonomy places the organism in Eukaryota, Metazoa, Chordata, Amphibia, Anura, Pelobatidae.
GGCUGACGGCAGAUCCCACUCAACUAUACCCCAUUGAGUCGCACUCUGAUAAGUGACAUGGAGAAAUGGAGAAAUGGUUAGACAAGCCGAUUUCAUGGAUUGGACGGAUACAUUCAGUUAAAAUGAAUGUCCUACCCAGAAUAUUGUUCCUUUUCCAGGCCCUCCUGGUCCGAGUGACUAAAUCUAACUUGGGGACACUCCAACAGGCCACAGGCAAGUUCAUUUCGCAGAACAAGAGACCUAGAGUCUCACGUAAUGUACUUUUUAGGGCAAAGAACAGAG